RNAcentral lists this ribosomal RNA (1246 nucleotides) under Bougainvillea proliferation phytoplasma. Its description in RNAcentral is "bacterial SSU rRNA". It matches the Rfam family "Bacterial small subunit ribosomal RNA", at positions 153 to 1399 of the family's 1533-position model. RNAcentral also lists the same sequence under 1 other name. Lineage: Bacteria; Bacillati; Mycoplasmatota; Mollicutes; Acholeplasmatales; Acholeplasmataceae. The record is from RNAcentral.
GAAACAGUUGCUAAGACUGGAUAGGAAAAGUAAAGGCAUCUUUACUUUUUAAAAGACCUUCUUUGGAGGUAUGCUUAAGGAGGGGCUUGCGACACAUUAGUUAGUUGGCAGGGUAAAGGCCUACCAAGACUAUGAUGUGUAGCUGGACUGAGAGGUUGAACAGCCACAUUGGGACUGAGACACGGCCCAAACUCCUACGGGAGGCAGCAGUAGGGAAUUUUCGGCAAUGGAGGAAACUCUGACCGAGCAACGCCGCGUGAACGAUGAAGUACCUCGGUAUGUAAAGUUCUUUUAUUAAGGAAGAAAAAAGAGUGGAAAAACUCCCUUGACGGUACUUAAUGAAUAAGCCCCGGCUAAUUAUGUGCCAGCAGCCGCGGUAAUACAUAAAGGGCGAGCGUUAUCCGGAAUUAUUGGGCGUAAAGGGUGCGUAGGCGGUUUAAUAAGUCUAUAGUUUAAUUUCAGUGCUUAACGCUGUUGUGCUAUAGAAACUGUUUUACUAGAGUGAGAUAGAGGCAAGCGGAAUUCCAUGUGUAGCGGUAAAAUGCGUAAAUAUAUGGAGGAACACCAGAGGCGUAGGCGGCUUGCUGGGUCUUUACUGACGCUGAGGCACGAAAGCGUGGGGAGCAAACAGGAUUAGAUACCCUGGUAGUCCACGCCGUAAACGAUGAGUACUAAGUGUCGGGUAAAACCGGUACUGAAGUUAACACAUUAAGUACUCCGCCUGAGUAGUACGUACGCAAGUAUGAAACUUAAAGGAAUUGACGGGACUCCGCACAAGCGGUGGAUCAUGUUGUUUAAUUCGAAGAUACACGAAAAACCUUACCAGGUCUUGACAUUUUCUUGCGAAGUUAUAGAAAUAUAAUGGAGGUUAUCAGGAAAACAGGUGGUGCAUGGUUGUCGUCAGCUCGUGUCGUGAGAUGUUAGGUUAAGUCCUAAAACGAGCGCAACCCUUGUCGUUAAUUGCCAGCAUGUAAUGAUGGGGACUUUAACGAGACUGCCAAUGAAAAAUUGGAGGAAGGUGGGGAUUACGUCAAAUCAUCAUGCCCCUUAUGAUCUGGGCUACAAACGUGAUACAAUGGUUGAUACAAAGAGUAGCUGAAACGCGAGUUCUUAGCCAAUCUCACAAAAUCAAUCUCAGUUCGGAUUGAAGUCUGCAACUCGACUUCAUGAAGUUGGAAUCGCUAGUAAUCGCGAAUCAGCAUGUCGCGGUGAAUACGUUCUCGGGGUUUGUACACACCGCCCGUCA